This 813-nucleotide ribosomal RNA is filed under the name uncultured Bacteroidota bacterium. RNAcentral describes it as "bacterial SSU rRNA". It matches the Rfam family "Bacterial small subunit ribosomal RNA", at positions 537 to 1358 of the family's 1533-position model. The record is from RNAcentral. Lineage: Bacteria; Pseudomonadati; Bacteroidota.
CGAAACGUUCGGAUAUUGGGUUUAAGGGUGCGUAGGUGGGUUAAUAAGUCAGCGGUGAAAUCCAGAUGCUUAACAUCUGAACUGCCGUUGAAACUGUUAGUCUUGAGUGUGAACGAGGUAGGCGGAAUUCGUAGUGUAGCGGUGAAAUGCAUAGAUAUUACGAAGAACUCCGAUAGCGCAGGCAGCUUACCAGGCCACAACUGACACUGAAGCACGAAAGUGUGGGUAUCAAACAGGAUUAGAUACCCUGGUAGUCCACACAGUAAACGAUGAUUACUCGCUGUUUGCGAUAUACAGUAAGCGGCUUAGCGAAAGCGUUAAGUAAUCCACCUGGGGAGUACGCCGGCAACGGUGAAACUCAAAGGAAUUGACGGGGGCCCGCACAAGCGGAGGAACAUGUGGUUUAAUUCGAUGAUACGCGAGGAACCUUACCCGGGCUCGAACGGCAGCGGAAUGAUUGUGAAAGCAAUCAGUCGCAAGACCGCUGUCGAGGUGCUGCAUGGUUGUCGUCAGCUCGUGCCGUGAGGUGUCGGCUUAAGUGCCAUAACGAGCGCAACCCUUAUCGUUAGUUACCAUCAGGUCAUGCUGGGGACUCUAGCGAGACUGCCGCCGUAAGGUGAGAGGAAGGUGGGGAUGACGUCAAAUCAGCACGGCCCUUACGUCCGGGGCUACACACGUGUUACAAUGGGUGGGACAGAGAGGAGCAAGUUAGCGAUAAUGCGCGAAUCUUCAAACCCGCUCUCAGUUCGGAUCGAAGUCUGCAACCCGACUUCGUGAAGCUGGAUUCGCUAGUAAUCGCGCAUCAGCCAUGGC